RNAcentral lists this ribosomal RNA (339 nucleotides) under Columbicola gymnopeliae. RNAcentral describes it as "partial 12S ribosomal RNA". The record is from RNAcentral. Lineage: Eukaryota; Metazoa; Arthropoda; Insecta; Psocodea; Philopteridae.
GAACAGAAGAAAAAAAUUGGAGAGUAAGAUGAAACUGAAAACUAUCCAGAAUGGCGGUUUUUCUUUUUCUCAGAAAGAUGUGUUUUUAAAACGAAAAUGCACGAAAAUCUUUCUUGUUUUAGAACAUACAUCCUGUCCACCGCCGUCUGAAGGGUAAAGAAAAAAAUUUAAUCCUACACCCUGGUUAGGGAAUAAGUCAGGUAAGGUGCAGACCAUAAACAAGACUAAAUGCAUUUCACUAAGAAAGAUCAAGGUGUGGUUUGAAAGAACCUAACCAAGAAGAAUUUGAAAGUAAAGGUUUUUUAUCAAAAAUUCUUGAAUUAAAUACAAGAAAAAUGU